Molecule: ribosomal RNA, 534 nt
Filed under: uncultured bacterium
Lineage: Bacteria
Description: bacterial SSU rRNA
Rfam family: Bacterial small subunit ribosomal RNA
Source: RNAcentral
AAUAGAUACCCCGGUAGUCCUGGCCGUAAACGAUGUCGACUAGAUCGCAGUACCUCUGACGGUAUCGCGGUCGAAGCAAAAGUGCUAAGUCGACCGCCUGGGAAGUACGGUCGCAAGGCUAAAACUCAAAGAAAUUGACGAGGGCUCACACAAGCGGUGGAGCAUGUGGUUCAAUUCGAAGCAACGCGCAGAACCUUACCUGGGCUUGAAACGCUAGGAUUAUCUCUAUGAAAGUAGAGUAGGCCCUUCGGGGUACAACUAGUACAGGUGCUGCAUGGCUGUCGUCAGCUCGUGUCGUGAGAUGUCGGGUUAAGUCCCUUAACGAGCGAAACCUUUGCCCUUAGUUACUAACGGAUAAUGCCGAGGACUCUAAGGGGACUGCCGGUGUCAAACCGGAGGAAGGUGGAGAUGACGUCAAGUCCUCAUGGCCUUUAUGCCCAGGGCCACACACGUGCUACAAUGGCGUUGACAAAGCGACCCUAAAACGCGAGUUCAUGGAAAUCGCAGAAAUAACGCCCCAGUUCAGAUCGGAGG